GUGAGGGAAUGGGUGACUAGUGGCAGAGUGAGGGAGGGAAGGGGUGACUAGUGACAGAGUGAGGGGAUGACUGGUGACAGAGUGAGGGGGGGUGACUGUCACUAGUCACCCCAUCCCUCUCUCUGUCACUAGUUACUCCCUCCCUAACUCUGUCACUGUGUCACCCGCUCCCUCACUCUGUCACUAGUCACCCCCUCUCUCACUACUGUCACUAGUCACCCCCUCCCUCAC
Pelobates cultripes (western spadefoot toad) is the source of this 231-nucleotide non-coding RNA. NCBI's taxonomy places the organism in Eukaryota, Metazoa, Chordata, Amphibia, Anura, Pelobatidae. The record is from the annotation of a GenBank genome assembly.